RNAcentral lists this unclassified non-coding RNA (283 nucleotides) under Hevea brasiliensis (rubber tree). Lineage: Eukaryota; Viridiplantae; Streptophyta; Magnoliopsida; Malpighiales; Euphorbiaceae. The record is from RNAcentral.
AGUCCUGAUUAGAACUAGCCUCCCUAUUACGUUGAUUAUUUUCGUUGUUAGUAACCACUUCUCUAUAUCCUCCUCUAUUUCCCUAUUGUCCAUUUAUAUUCCAACUAAUAAGAACACCAUUAGUGGGUUGUGAAAAAUGAGUGCUCUCUGUAGAAAGGACACGUGUAAAGUAUUAUGAAGAGAGGAAAUCUCAGAACCAGAGAGAAAAUCUCAGAACCAGAGAGAAUCUGAGAUUUAACAGUCUCAUAUUCUGAAGGAAAGCCUGCAAGAAAACUCAUAACAG